This 381-nucleotide ribosomal RNA is filed under the name uncultured bacterium. Its description in RNAcentral is "bacterial SSU rRNA". It matches the Rfam family "Bacterial small subunit ribosomal RNA", at positions 30 to 416 of the family's 1533-position model. The record is from RNAcentral.
AUUGAACGCUGGCGGAAUGCUUUACACAUGCAAGUCGAACGGUAGAGGGGGCAACCCCUUGAGAGUGGCGAACGGGUGAGUAAUAUAUCGGAACGUGCCCAGUCGUGGGGAUAACGUAGCGAAAGCUACGCCAAUACCGCAUACGAUCUAUGGAUGAAAGCGGGGGAUCGCAAGACCUCGCGCGAUUGGAGCGGCCGAUAUCAGAUUAGGUAGUUGGUGAGGUAAGGGCUCACCAAGCCGACGAUCUGUAGCUGGUCUGAGAGGACGACCAGCCACACUGGGACUGAGACACGGCCCAGACUCCUACGGGAGGCAGCAGUGGGGAAUUUUGGACAAUGGGCGCAAGCCUGAUCCAGCAAUGCCGCGUGCAGGAUGAAGGCC